ACACGCAUGACACACUGCAUAUCAAUAAGCGGAGGAAAAGAAACUAACUAGGAUUCCCUCAGUAACGGCGAGUGAAGCGGGAAGAGCUCAAAUUUGAAAUCUUCAAGGUUCUACCUUGACGAAUUGUAGUUUAUAGAAGUGUUUUCUGUUAGUAGAGUUGGUAAAAGUUCUUUGGAAUAGGACAUCAUAGAGGGUGAGAAUCCCGUAUUUGUACCAUUCUUUCUAACUUUGUGAUACACUUUCAACGAGUCGGAUUGUUUGGGAAUGCGGUCCAAAAUGGGUGGUAAAUUUCAUCUAAAGCUAAAUAUUGGCGAGAGACCGAUAGCGAACAAGUACCGUGAGGGAAAGAUGAAAAGAACUUUGAAAAGAGAGUUAAACAGUACGUGAAAUUGUCGAAAGGGAAGCGUUCGACACCAGUGUUGUUUUUCCGAAAAUCAAUUACGAAUGUUUUAGUUUUUGAGAAGUUAUGACUUCAUCGGCUUGCUUCUCUCUUUAUGAAACUUUCUUAAUGCACUUUUCGGUUAACAAGUCAACAUCAAUUUCUUUUGUUGUAAAAGGGUAUGAGGAAGGUGGCUUUCUUUUCGGAGAAAGUGUUUAUAGCCUUGUAGCCUCUGCAAUCGGAGAGAUUGAGGUCUGCAGCGUAGAUCCUUCGGGGUUAGAUACAUUUGUGCUAAGUUAUAGCUUUUCAUAGACAACUUGUUGACUAUGUUUAGUCUUGUAGCUUACUCGCUUAUGCUAUUUUACCUACGCUUAGGAUGUUGACUGAUAUGUAGUCGU
RNAcentral lists this ribosomal RNA (777 nucleotides) under uncultured Neocallimastigales. Its description in RNAcentral is "partial large subunit ribosomal RNA". It matches the Rfam family "Eukaryotic large subunit ribosomal RNA", at positions 23 to 643 of the family's 3401-position model. The record is from RNAcentral. Lineage: Eukaryota; Fungi; Neocallimastigomycota; Neocallimastigomycetes; Neocallimastigales.